UCCGUAGGGUGAACCUGCGGAGGGAUCAUUGCUGGAACGCGCCCUAGGCGCACCCAGAAACCCUUUGUGAACUUAUACCUUACUGUUGCCUCGGCGCAUGCUGGCCCCCUCGGGGUCCCCUGGAGACAGGGAGCAGGCACGCCGGCGGCCAAGUUAACUCUUGUUUUUACACUGAAACUCUGAGAAAAAAACACAAAUGAAUCAAAACUUUCAACAACGGAUCUCUUGGUUCUGGCAUCGAUGAAGAACGCAGCGAAAUGCGAUAAGUAAUGUGAAUUGCAGAAUUCAGUGAAUCAUCGAAUCUUUGAACGCACAUUGCGCCCUCUGGUAUUCCGGAGGGCAUGCCUGUUCGAGCGUCAUUUCAACCCUCAAGCAUUGCUUGGUGUUGGGGCACUGCUUUUUACCAAGCAGGCCCUGAAAUCUAGUGGCGAGCUCGCCAGGACCCCGAGCGCAGUAGUUAAACCCUCGCUCUGGAAGGCCCUGGCGGUGCCCUGCCGUUAAACCCCCAACUUCUGAAAAUUUGACCUCGGAUCAGGUAGGAAUACCCGCUGAACUUAAGCAUAUCAAUAAGCGGAGGA
RNAcentral lists this ribosomal RNA (578 nucleotides) under Phomopsis sp. EF06. RNAcentral describes it as "eukaryotic LSU rRNA". The stretch from base 206 to 359 matches the Rfam family "5.8S ribosomal RNA". Lineage: Eukaryota; Fungi; Ascomycota; Sordariomycetes; Diaporthales; Diaporthaceae. The record is from RNAcentral.